This 253-nucleotide ribosomal RNA is filed under the name uncultured bacterium. Its description in RNAcentral is "partial 16S ribosomal RNA". It matches the Rfam family "Bacterial small subunit ribosomal RNA", at positions 524 to 776 of the family's 1533-position model. The record is from RNAcentral.
UACGUAGGGUGCAAGCGUUGUCCGGAAUUAUUGGGCGUAAAGAGCUUGUAGGCGGUUUGUCGCGUCUGCUGUGAAAUUUCGGGGCUCAACCCCGAACUUGCAGUGGGUACGGGCAGACUAGAGUGUGGUAGGGGAGACUGGAAUUCCUGGUGUAGCGGUGAAAUGCGCAGAUAUCAGGAGGAACACCGGUGGCGAAGGCGGGAUUCUGGACCAAUAUUGACGCUGAGGAGCGAAAGCCAGGGGAGCAAACGGG